AUUAAAAUAUUUAAUUAAUAUUAAUUGACCCGAAAGCAAACGAUAAAUUUAAUAAAUUUAAUAUAACUAUUAAUAGAAUUAGGUUACUAAUAAAUUAAUAACAAUUAAUUUUAAAACCUAAAGGUAAACCUUUAUAUUAAUAAUGUUUUUUUUUAUUAUAUUUAUAAUAAGAAUAAUUAUUAAUAAUAAUAAACUAAGUGAACUGAAACAUCUAAGUAACUUAAGGAUAAGAAAUCAACAGAGAUAUUAUGAGUAUUGGUGAGAGAAAAUAAUAAAGGUCUAAUAAGUAUUAUGUGAAAAAAAUGUAAGAAAAUAGGAUAACAAAUUCUAAGACUAAAUACUAUUAAUAAGUAUAGUAAGUACCGUAAGGGAAAGUAUGAAAAUGAUUAUUUUAUAAGCAAUCAUGAAUAUAUUAUAUUAUAUUAAUGAUGUACCUUUUGUAUAAUGGGUCAGCAAGUAAUUAAUAUUAGUAAAACAAUAAGUUAUAAAUAAAUAGAAUAAUAUAUAUAUAUAUAAAAAUAUAUUAAAAUAUUUAAUUAAUAUUAAUUGACCCGAAAGCAAACGAUCUAACUAUGAUAAGAUGGAUAAACGAUCGAACAGGUUGAUGUUGCAAUAUCAUCUGAUUAAUUGUGGUUAGUAGUGAAAGACAAAUCUGGUUUGCAGAUAGCUGGUUUUCUAUGAAAUAUAUGUAAGUAUAGCCUUUAUAAAUAAUAAUUAUUAUAUAAUAUUAUAUUAAUAUUAUAUAAAGAAUGGUACAGCAAUUAAUAUAUAUUAGGGAACUAUUAAAGUUUUAUUAAUAAUAUUAAAUCUCGAAAUAUUUAAUUAUAUAUAAUAAAGAGUCAGAUUAUGUGCGAUAAGGUAAAUAAUCUAAAGGGAAACAGCCCAGAUUAAGAUAUAAAGUUCCUAAUAAAUAAUAAGUGAAAUAAAUAUUAAAAUAUUAUAAUAUAAUCAGUUAAUGGGUUUGACAAUAACCAUUUUUUAAUGAACAUGUAACAAUGCACUGAUUUAUAAUAAAUAAAAAAAAUAAUAUUUAAAAUCAAAUAUAUAUAUAUAUAUUUGUUAAUAGAUAAUAUACGGAUCUUAAUAAUAAGAAUUAUUUAAUUCCUAAUAUGGAAUAUUAUAUUUUUAUAAUAAAAAUAUAAAUACUGAAUAUCUAAAUAUUAUUAUUACUUUUUUUUUUAAUAAUAAUAAUAUGGUAAUAGAACAUUUAAUGAUAAUAUAUAUUAGUUAUUAAUUAAUAUAUGUAUUAAUUAAAUAGAGAAUGCUGACAUGAGUAACGAAAAAAAGGUAUAAACCUUUUCACCUAAAACAUAAGGUUUAACUAUAAAAGUACGGCCCCUAAUUAAAUUAAUAAGAAUAUAAAUAUAUUUAAGAUGGGAUAAUCUAUAUUAAUAAAAAUUUUAUCUUAAAAUAUAUAUAUUAUUAAUAAUUAUAUUAAUAAUAUAUAUAAUUAUAUUAUAUAUUUUUUUUAUAUAAUAUAAACUAAUAAAGAUCAGGAAAUAAUUAAUGUAUACCGUAAUGUAGACCGACUCAGGUAUGUAAGUAGAGAAUAUGAAGGUGAAUUAGAUAAUUAAAGGGAAGGAACUCGGCAAAGAUAGCUCAUAAGUUAGUCAAUAAAGAGUAAUAAGAACAAAGUUGUACAACUGUUUACUAAAAACACCGCACUUUGCAGAAACGAUAAGUUUAAGUAUAAGGUGUGAACUCUGCUCCAUGCUUAAUAUAUAAAUAAAAUUAUUUAACGAUAAUUUAAUUAAAUUUAGGUAAAUAGCAGCCUUAUUAUGAGGGUUAUAAUGUAGCGAAAUUCCUUGGCCUAUAAUUGAGGUCCCGCAUGAAUGACGUAAUGAUACAACAACUGUCUCCCCUUUAAGCUAAGUGAAAUUGAAAUCGUAGUGAAGAUGCUAUGUACCUUCAGCAAGACGGAAAGACCCUAUGCAGCUUUACUGUAAUUAGAUAGAUCGAAUUAUUGUUUAUUAUAUUCAGCAUAUUAAGUAAUCCUAUUAUUAGGUAAUCGUUUAGAUAUUAAUGAGAUACUUAUUAUAAUAUAAUGAUAAUUCUAAUCUUAUAAAUAAUUAUUAUUAUUAUUAUUAAUAAUAAUAAUAUGCUUUCAAGCAUAGUGAUAAAACAUAUUUAUAUGAUAAUCACUUUACUUAAUAGAUAUAAUUCUUAAGUAAUAUAUAAUAUAUAUUUUAUAUAUAUUAUAUAUAAUAUAAGAGACAAUCUCUAAUUGGUAGUUUUGAUGGGGCGUCAUUAUCAGCAAAAGUAUCUGAAUAAGUCCAUAAAUAAAUAUAUAAAAUUAUUGAAUAAAAAAAAAUAAUAUAUAUUAUAUAUAUUAAUUAUAAAUUGAAAUAUGUUUAUAUAAAUUUAUAUUUAUUGAAUAUAUUUUAGUAAUAGAUAAAAAUAUGUACAGUAAAAUUGUAAGGAAAACAAUAAUAACUUUCUCCUCUCUCGGUGGGGGUUCACACCUAUUUUUAAUAGGUGUUCACCCCUCUUCGGGGUUCCGGUUCCCUUUCGGGUCCCGGAACUUAAAAAAAUGGAAAGAAUUAAAUUAAUAUAAUGGUAUAACUGUGCGAUAAUUGUAACACAAACGAGUGAAACAAGUACGUAAGUAUGGCAUAAUGAACAAAUAACACUGAUUGUAAAGGUUAUUGAUAACGAAUAAAAGUUACGCUAGGGAUAACAGGGUAAUAUAACGAAAGAGUAGAUAUUGUAAGUUAUGUUUGCCACCUCGAUGUCGACUCAACAUUUCCUCUUGGUUGUAAAAGCUAAGAAGGGUUUGACUGUUCGUCAAUUAAAAUGUUACGUGAGUUGGGUUAAAUACGAUGUGAAUCAGUAUGGUUCCUAUCUGCUGAAGGAAAUAUUAUCAAAUUAAAUCUCAUUAUUAGUACGCAAGGACCAUAAUGAAUCAACCCAUGGUGUAUCUAUUGAUAAUAAUAUAAUAUAUUUAAUAAAAAUAAUACUUUAUUAAUAUAUUAUCUAUAUUAGUUUAUAUUUUAAUUAUAUAUUAUCAUAGUAGAUAAGCUAAGUUGAUAAUAAAUAAAUAUUGAAUACAUAUUAAAUAUGAAGUUGUUUUAAUAAGAUAAUUAAUCUGAUAAUUUUAUACUAAAAUUAAUAAUUAUAGGUUUUAUAUAU
This 3129-nucleotide ribosomal RNA is filed under the name Saccharomyces cerevisiae (brewer's yeast). Its description in RNAcentral is "bacterial LSU rRNA". It matches the Rfam family "Bacterial large subunit ribosomal RNA". Lineage: Eukaryota; Fungi; Ascomycota; Saccharomycetes; Saccharomycetales; Saccharomycetaceae. The record is from RNAcentral.